Molecule: ribosomal RNA, 519 nt
Filed under: uncultured Glomus
Lineage: Eukaryota; Fungi; Glomeromycota; Glomeromycetes; Glomerales; Glomeraceae
Description: SSU rRNA
Rfam family: Eukaryotic small subunit ribosomal RNA
Source: RNAcentral
AGCAGCCGCGGUAAUUCCAGCUCCAAUAGCGUAUAUUAAAGUUGUUGCAGUUAAAAAGCUCGUAGUUGAAUUUCGAGAUCAGUACGCUGGUCGUGCCUUCGGUAUGCACUGGUGUCACUGGUUUCUCCCUUCUGAAGAACCGUCAUGUCAUUAAGUUGGUGUGGCGGGGAAUCAGGACUGUUACUUUGAAAAAUUAGAGUGUUUAAAGCAGGCUCGCGCUUGAAUACAUUAGCAUGGAAUAAUGAAAUAGGACGUUUGACCCUAUUUUGUUGGUUUCUAGGAUCGACGUAAUGAUUAAUAGGGAUAGUUGGGGGCAUUAGUAUUCAAUUGUCAGAGGUGAAAUUCUUGGAUUUAUUGAAGACUAACUACUGCGAAAGCAUUUGCCAAGGAUGUUUUCAUUAAUCAAGAACGAAAGUUAGGGGAUCGAAGACGAUCAGAUACCGUCGUAGUCUUAACCAUAAACUAUGCCGACUAGGGAUCGGAUGAUGUUAAUUUUUAAUGACUCAUUCGGCGUACCCG